Molecule: transfer RNA, 70 nt
Filed under: Lariscus insignis (three-striped ground squirrel)
Lineage: Eukaryota; Metazoa; Chordata; Mammalia; Rodentia; Sciuridae
Description: tRNA-Ala
Rfam family: tRNA
About the family: Transfer RNA (tRNA) molecules are approximately 80 nucleotides in length.
Source: RNAcentral
NAGGACUUAGUUUAAUUAAAANCAAUUGGUUUGCAUUCAAUUGAUGUAAGAUGGGGUCUUGCAGUCCUUA